CCAGGGGCUGGGAACUUCUCUCCUUCAGGGCAGGAUGUUGCUGGGCAGACACUGAAUUUAUGGGAGACAGAUCCAGAGUGCUCCGGUGUGAGGCAGCAGCUCCUGUUUGUGCAAAAAAAUCAGCAAGAGAGGCCCAUUUGACACAUGGAGGUAAGACCAAAGAGAUGUGCCACAGCACCUACAAAAUGGGUUUCCUGAUGGCUGAGGAGCAAAAUGCUCUGGGGCCAGCUGGAUUUCCAAGGCUCCACCAUUCAUGGCCUGGGUCUCCAAAAGCAGAACCUCCUGGAGUCUCAGCACAGCUGUGUCUGAGCACUGCUGCACAACAAUCCUCUACCCCUGCCUUUGUUGUGAGCCAUGGAAAGCAAGUUCCUACCGGCUUUUGUGCUUCAAUAAAUAAAAGACUUGAAAAAGACAACUUUUACUGCCAUCAGGGCUGGCUCCAAAAUAGAAACUUGGCAGUUUUGAUUCGGUUGGUGUCACAAGGAAACUGUCCCCUUAUGCAUACAGCAAGUGUUCUGCUUCCAAAUUCUCACACCUUCAUGCUGAUGUUGGCUGCAUCCUAUGGGAAAGUGAAAAUAACAAAGCCUGGUGCAAAGAAACAAUAUGUUUUCCUUGGGGUUAAAUGGUCAAAUAAGUGUGGGAAAAGGUAUCACGCACUUGCUUGUGAAAGAAAUGAGUUUCUCAGGCAUCCUCCCCCAUUGUGGUAUUGGUUACCACAGAACAAACUUUUUCCAUCCCAACUCCUACCCAUAGUUACAUCAGACAAAGUUAUCACCAGACUACGUUUUCUUCAUACAACAUUCCUUCUCCCUGGAAAAGCAGGAGGAAACCUGUCUGUACAGCAAGAGUCAAUCACACAGCACCACUGCAAGCAUUUCCUGGCCUACUAGUUUCUCCUUCCAUGCUGCUGCAGCUCAAGGGGUUUUACCUCAUAGUGUCUGGGUUUGGAAAGGGAAGGGAGUGUAAAGUUGCUUUGAUAUAAUUUACAGGAGCUCUUAGUACCAUGUUAUACAUACAUGAAUCCUGGAUGUAACUUGAAGAGAAUUUGGUUUUAAUCUGAGCCCUUGAAUUUCACAUAUGGGAAAAAGCCAUUCAAUUUCAGAUUGUUUAUUUAUGAUGGUGUGGUGGAAACGUAGGUGAAA
RNAcentral lists this long non-coding RNA (1142 nucleotides) under Cyanistes caeruleus (blue tit). RNAcentral's name for it is "lncRNA (ENSCCEG00000023494.1)". The record is from RNAcentral. Lineage: Eukaryota; Metazoa; Chordata; Aves; Passeriformes; Paridae.